RNAcentral lists this unclassified non-coding RNA (225 nucleotides) under Westerdykella dispersa. Its description in RNAcentral is "partial internal transcribed spacer region". The stretch from base 1 to 46 matches the Rfam family "Eukaryotic small subunit ribosomal RNA", at positions 1786 to 1831 of the family's 1831-position model. The record is from RNAcentral. RNAcentral also lists the same sequence under 1 other name. Lineage: Eukaryota; Fungi; Ascomycota; Dothideomycetes; Pleosporales; Sporormiaceae.
AAGUCGUAACAAGGUUUCCGUAGGUGAACCUGCGGAAGGAUCAUUAUCGUAGAGCUUCGGCUCUUUCGAGGGAGAACCCUUGCCUUUUCGAGCACCUGUUUGUUUCCUCGGCAGGCCCGCCUGCCAAUGGGGACCUUUUUAAACCCUUGCGAUAACCUGAACAAAAAUCGUCUGAACAAAAAAAAAUCUAAAUCAAAACUUUCAACAACGGAUCUCUUGGUUCUG